Molecule: long non-coding RNA, 873 nt
Organism: Sebastes umbrosus (honeycomb rockfish)
Lineage: Eukaryota; Metazoa; Chordata; Actinopteri; Perciformes; Sebastidae
Exons: 3
Source: RefSeq, a predicted model, not a curated record
GUGUUUAAAGCAUUUUAUAAUCAGCUAAAUUGGUAAAAGCUGCAUCAUGUUGCUUCAAGAGGACUUUGUGGGUGAAGAAACAUCGUGUUUGUUGCAGGAGAAUCCUCUGUCAUCCUAAACCACUUCAACCUGGAAGAUAAACCUUCAUCAUCAUAUGUGACGUCCACGGCCUGACCCUGAGAAGAGCUCCGUCUCAGAGGUGCAAUCUGGGGAACCGGAGAAUCAGCUCAAGGAUGGAAAAAAUAACUCAAAGGAAACCAACUGGACCAAGUGCUGCCUAUGUCAGCAGGAUAAGAAGAAAGAGAUCCCCAGGCCAAUCCUGUCAAAAGAAGAGAUGACGGGUAUGUGAACUUGGCAAGGACUAUUCCACUGUGUCACUUACUCAAUGCACUACCAAUCAAGCUAGACCCUGCAAGGCUUACGAAGGUGGUGGGAUAGAGGAAACCUUGAGACAAAACAAGGCACAAUAUCACCAGAGUUGCAGGCUCUUGUUUAACACCACAAACACUGAGCUGAAAGAUCAACCCCAGCAGCUACUAGAGAUGAGGGUGGUAAAAGCAGGAACCCACGAAAUGUCCAAGAGACAAAAACAGUAGAGUAUUUCCUAUGUGAGACUAAAGGAGGUGAGCUAAGACAAGCACUGACUAAUGAAAGUGACUAUAGGCUUGUUCGAGAUGAACUGCGCCUCGCCUGGAAAGUAGAUGAGAUCAGGCGGCAGCAGCAAGGGGUGGUGACAAAAAGCUGCGGUAAUGUUGGACAGUUUCCAGCAGCCUUCUAAGAAUUUACAGGAAGUCACAGGAAAAGUGACAUCCUGUUAGAUCCGAUCUGUAGGCUACUUUAAGUUUGCAGACCACGUUGGGAUUUAUUUAUAUU